This 468-nucleotide ribosomal RNA is filed under the name uncultured bacterium. RNAcentral describes it as "partial 16S ribosomal RNA". It matches the Rfam family "Bacterial small subunit ribosomal RNA", at positions 28 to 507 of the family's 1533-position model. The record is from RNAcentral.
GACGAACGCUGGCGGCGUGCUUAACACAUGCAAGUCGAACGGAAAGGCCCUGCUUUUGUGGGGUGCUCGAGUGGCGAACGGGUGAGUAACACGUGAGUAACCUGCCCUUGACUUUGGGAUAACUUCAGGAAACUGGGGCUAAUACCGGAUAGGAGCUCCUGCUGCAUGGUGGGGGUUGGAAAGUUUCGGCGGUUGGGGAUGGACUCGCGGCUUAUCAGCUUGUUGGUGGGGUAGUGGCUUACCAAGGCUUUGACGGGUAGCCGGCCUGAGAGGGUGACCGGCCACAUUGGGACUGAGAUACGGCCCAGACUCCUACGGGAGGCAGCGGUAGGGAAUAUUGCACAAUGGGCGGAAGCCUGAUGCAGCAACGCCGCGUGCGGGAUGACGGCCUUCGGGUUGUAAACCGCUUUCGCCUGUGACGAAGCGUGAGUGACGGUAAUGGGUAAAGAAGCACCGGCUAACUACGUG